RNAcentral lists this ribosomal RNA (474 nucleotides) under uncultured bacterium. RNAcentral describes it as "partial 16S ribosomal RNA". It matches the Rfam family "Bacterial small subunit ribosomal RNA", at positions 328 to 795 of the family's 1533-position model. The record is from RNAcentral.
UGGCCAGACUCCUACGGGAGGCAGCAGUGGGGAAUAUUGCGCAAUGGGCGAAAGCCUGACGCAGCGACGCCGCGUGAGGGAUGAAGGUCUUCGGAUCGUAAACCUCUGUCAGCAGGGAAGAACGGUCACUGUGCUAAUCAGCAGUGAAUUGACGGUACCUGCAAAGGAAGCACCGGCUAACUCCGUGCCAGCAGCCGCGGUAAUACGGAGGAUGCGAGCGUUAUCCGGAUUUAUUGGGUUUAAAGGGUGCGUGGCGGGUCCGUUAAGUCAGCGGUAAAAUUGCGGGGCUCAACCCUGUCGAGCCGUUGAAACUGGCAGACUUGAGUUGGCGAGAAGGACGCGGAAUGCGCGGUGUAGCGGUGAAAUGCAUAGAUAUCGCGCAGAACUCCGAUUGCGAAGGCAGCGCACCGGCGCCCUACUGACGCUCAGGCACGAAAGCGUGGGGAUCGAACAGGAUUAGAUACCCGCGUAAGC